RNAcentral lists this non-coding RNA (23 nucleotides) under Arabidopsis thaliana (thale cress). The record is from RNAcentral. Lineage: Eukaryota; Viridiplantae; Streptophyta; Magnoliopsida; Brassicales; Brassicaceae.
AUAGACUCUUCUUCCAUUUCGAU